CCUACGGGUGGCAGCAGUGGGGAAUAUUGGACAAUGGGCGAAAGCCUGAUCCAGCCAUGCCGCGUGUGUGAAGAAGGCCUUCGGGUUGUAAAGCACUUUCAGUGGGGAAGAAAGCCUUGGGGCUAAUACCCUCGAGGAAGGACAUCACCCACAGAAGAAGCACCGGCUAACUCCGUGCCAGCAGCCGCGGUAAUACGGAGGGUGCGAGCGUUAAUCGGAAUUACUGGGCGUAAAGCGCGCGUAGGCGGUCUGAUAAGCCGGUUGUGAAAGCCCCGGGCUCAACCUGGGAACGGCAUCCGGAACUGUCAGGCUAGAGUGCAGGAGAGGAAGGUAGAAUUCCCGGUGUAGCGGUGAAAUGCGUAGAGAUCGGGAGGAAUACCAGUGGCGAAGGCGGCCUUCUGGACUGACACUGACGCUGAGGUGCGAAAGCGUGGGUAGCAAACAGGAUUAAUACCUUGUAGUC
RNAcentral lists this ribosomal RNA (463 nucleotides) under Vreelandella stevensii. RNAcentral's name for it is "partial 16S ribosomal RNA". It matches the Rfam family "Bacterial small subunit ribosomal RNA", at positions 338 to 795 of the family's 1533-position model. The record is from RNAcentral. Lineage: Bacteria; Pseudomonadati; Pseudomonadota; Gammaproteobacteria; Oceanospirillales; Halomonadaceae.